This 1201-nucleotide ribosomal RNA is filed under the name uncultured bacterium. Its description in RNAcentral is "bacterial SSU rRNA". It matches the Rfam family "Bacterial small subunit ribosomal RNA", at positions 108 to 1306 of the family's 1533-position model. The record is from RNAcentral.
GAGUAACGCGUGGAUAACCUGCCCCCAGGAGGGGGAUAACUUGCCGAAAGGCGGGCUAAUACCGCAUAACAGGGCAGGGGUAGGUUCCUGUCCUUAAAGCCGCAAGGCGCCGGGGGAGGGGUCCGCGUCCGAUUAGCUUGUUGGUGGGGUAAGAGCUCACCAAGGCAACGAUCGGUAGCUGGUCUGAGAGGACGGCCAGCCAGACUGGGACUGAGACACGGUCCAGACUCCUACGGGAGGCAGCAGUGGGGAAUCUUGUGCAAUGGGGGAAACCCUGACGCAGCAACGCCGCGUGGGUGAUGAAGGCCUUCGGGUCGUAAAGCCCUGUCAGGUGGGAAGAAACAUGUCGAUUCGAAUAGGACCGACAUUUGACGGUACUACCGGAGGAAGCACCGGCUAACUCCGUGCCAGCAGCCGCGGUAAUACGGAGGGUGCAAGCGUUGUUCGGAAUUAUUGGGCGUAAAGCGCGUGCAGGCGGUUGAGCAAGUCAGAUGUGAAAGCCUUCCGCUUAACGGAAGAAGUGCAUUUGAAACUACUCGCCUAGAGUUCGAGAGAGGAGAGUGGAAUUCCCGGUGUAGAGGUGAAAUUCGUAGAUAUCGGGAGGAACACCGGUGGCGAAGGCGGCUCUCUGGCUCGAUACUGACGCUGAGACGCGAAAGCGUGGGGAGCAAACAGGAUUAGAUACCCUGGUAGUCCACGCCGUAAACGAUGGGCACUAGGUGUAGGAGGUAUUGACCCCUUCUGUGCCGAAGCUAACGCAUUAAGUGCCCCGCCUGGGGAGUACGGCCGCAAGGCUAAAACUCAAAGGAAUUGACGGGGGCCCGCACAAGCGGUGGAGCAUGUGGUUCAUUCGACGCACGCGAAGAACCUUACCUGGGCUUGACAUCCCGGGAAUCCCCUGGAAACAGGGGGGUGCCCUUCGGGGAACCCGGAGACAGGUGCUGCAUGGCUGUCGUCAGCUCGUGUCGUGAGGUGUUGGGUUAAGUCCCGCAACGAGCGCAACCCUCACCCUUAGUUGCUACCAGCUCUGCUGGGCACUCUAAGGGAACCGCCAGCGAUAAGCCGGAGGAAGGUGAGGAUGACGUCAAGUCCUCAUGGCCUUUAUGCCCAGGGCUACACACGUGCUACAUGGUCGAUACAAGGCCGCGAACCCGCGAGGGGGGGCCAAUCCCAAAAGUCGUCUUAGUUCGGAUUGGAGUCU